This 430-nucleotide ribosomal RNA is filed under the name uncultured bacterium. Its description in RNAcentral is "bacterial SSU rRNA". It matches the Rfam family "Bacterial small subunit ribosomal RNA", at positions 355 to 776 of the family's 1533-position model. The record is from RNAcentral.
UGGGGAAUUUUGCACAAUGGGCGGAAGCCUGAUGCAGCGACGCCGCGUGGAGGAAGACGGUCUUCGGAUUGUAAACUCCUGUUAAGUGGGAAGAAAGACGUGUAGUUAAUACCUGCACGAGAUGACGGUACCACUAGAGAAAGCUCCGGCAAACUUCGUGCCAGCAGCCGCGGUAAUACGAAGGGAGCAAGCGUUAUUCGGAAUCACUGGGCGUAAAGGGCGCGUAGGCGGUUUGUUAAGUCAAUUAUUAAAGCCCACAGCUUAACUGUGGAUCUGUAGUUGAUACUGGCAGACUAAGAGGACGAGAGAGAGAAGUGGAAUUCUCGGAGUAGCGGUAAAAUGCGUAGAUCCCGAGAGGAACACCGAUAGCGAAGGCAGCUUCUUGGCUCGUACCUGACGCUGAGGCGCGAAAGCGUGGGGAGCAAACAGG